This 3043-nucleotide long non-coding RNA is filed under the name Olea europaea (common olive). Its description in RNAcentral is "long non-coding RNA (OEUR_LNC011665)". Lineage: Eukaryota; Viridiplantae; Streptophyta; Magnoliopsida; Lamiales; Oleaceae. The record is from RNAcentral.
GAGAACCAUCCAUGAGAUAUUUAUUCCUUGCUUUGCAGGACGUUUAUUCUCCACUUUACCAAACAGACUCUUUUGCUUUGCAAGAUACUUAUUGCUUGUCCCUCACUAUCGUCAAGCACAGUUAUAAGACCUCGUUCAUUUGAGGCUAGCUUAUGAGUUAUUGAUAGUUCAAGACAGCCAUCCACAAGAUUUUUAUUCCUUACAUCGCAAGAUGUUUAUUUUUCGCUUUGGCAAAGAUAUUCAUUGGCUUCACGAGAUGCUUAUUCCUCCCCUCUCAAUAUGGUCAAGCAAAGCUAUAAGAUCUUGUCCAUUCGAUGCCAGUUUAUAAGUCUUCGAUAGUUGGAGAGAGCCAUUUGCAAGAUGUUCAUUCUCAUCCAUUAGCUUCACAAUAUGUUUAAUUCUCAUUCUUCAUUAUUGUCGAGCACAACUAUAAAAAUUCGUACAUCUAAGGCCAGCUAAUAAGUCUUUGAUAAUUCGAAAGAGCCAUCUAUGACAUGUUUUUUCCUUGCUUGGCGGGAUGUUCAUUCUCCACUUCGCUGUAAUUCAUUAGCUUUGUGAGAUUUUUGUUCUUCGUCCCUUACUAUUGUCGAGCACAUUUAUAAGUUCUCGUCCAUCUGAGGCCAGCUUAUAAGUCUCCAAUAGUUUGAGAGAGCCAUCCUUGAGAUGUUUAUUCCUUACUUCAUAAGAUGCUUUGCCAUGCUAGAUGCUUGCAUCCCGCCUUCCCAUAAAUAGAUUUCUUAACUUUACUAGAUGUGUAAUUCCCUGCUUUACCACUUUUCACUGUGAGGCAAGUCAUUUGCCUCCAAUACAUGUAUGAGCUGUCUACACAAAGCCUUUGUGCCACACUACAUUUAUCUUCGGAGAGCUCAUAACGCCUUUGCUUCAGCUACAUCACAACUGCCUAUCUUUCAGAGAAUUGCUUCUACUUCAACUAUGUCAUAGCUUCACCUAUCUUCAGAGAGCUUACAUUAUCCCUUGUAUGAUAUACCAUCCACCAUGUAGGAAGUCCUUAGCAUGGAUCAACCAUACAUUAUGCAAAGAUGUCAUUUACCACUCCGAAAUGAGAUAUGUGGGCCUAUUUGAUUCCUACAUAAAAAAAGAGCCUUUCAUGGAUGAACGAUCCACCAUAAAAGAAGUCCUUAGCAUGGACGAACCGUUCACUAUGCAAGGAUGAUAGUUUUUUUUUUUUUAGCUAGAGACGUAUGGAGCUUCACAAUGGGAGGAGCCCAUCCUAAAAACCUACAAAGUCGACCUAUAUUUAGAGCUUCACCUCUACAUUACCUCCACCACAGCUUCUUAUAUUCAAAGUCUCAUUUUUGCAUCAAUUUCAUCACAAAUGCUUAUAUUAGAGUCUCCUCUCUGCAAUAGCUUUACCACAGGUACUUAUAUUUACAAUCUUGCCUCGACAUCAUAGCUGCUUAUAUAUUUAGAGACUCAUCUCUACAUCAACUUUAACAUAACUACUUAUAUUCAGAGUCUAGCUGUGUAUGAACUUCAUCAUAGCUUCUUAUAUUCAACACUCAUCUCUGCAUUAACUUUAUCACAACAACUUAUACUCAAAGCCUCGUCUCUAUCUAAAAGUCCAUCAAUUGUAUGAAUUUCUAUAUGAGGACUUUUAAGGACUAUUGUGAUACUAGUAUCUUAAUAAUAUUACAUUAUUACUGUUAGCAUAUACAUUAUAUUAUUGCUGUCAAGUACGCAUGCCAUAUCAUUGCAGCAUGUCAUAAUACUAUUUCACUACGUCAAUGCGCAUGCCACAUUAUCUACGUAAUCAUCUUAUUAUCGAUAUCAUGUCACUUGUUUCACACUAGCAAGUUUGAUCUAAUCAUCAUUUUACUUUAUAUGGAAGGAAAAAUGGGCCCCAAUUUAUUUGUAUAUAUGUAGUAGAUAUACUGUAUUGUAUUUUAGAUUGGUUUAGUCCAUAUUACAAAGGAAAUACUAUGAAAAUUUUGGUAAACCAUGGCGUGAUAUUUCAAAGGUAAUCUGUAAGUCCUCGCUUAUUUAGGCUCACAUAGAUAUUUUUGAGGUAGUUUGUAAAUCCUCACUUAUUUGAGUGAUUUAUAUUCUUGAGGUAAUUCGUAAGCCCUCACCUAUUUGGGAUCGAUAUAUAUUUUUGAGGCAGUUCUAAGACCUCACUUAUUAGAGUUGUUCGUAUUUUUUUCCGAGGCAAUUUGUAAACCGUUCUAGUUGACAACUUCCAUUUCGAAGUCCGUCCUUCAAAUGAAUGUAAGACUCGGACUUGAAAGAUUAUUCUUAUAUCUAUAAAUUACGUGAUAUACGUGUGAUAGAGAUGGUCCUACACAUGCCCACUCGGCAUUGAUUAUUCAAUUAGAUUGGACAUAUUUAAUCAAAUAAUCGCAUCUUAGGUUCGGUCUAUUAGCCCCACUUGGCCAAUUUCCACUUAUACAUGUGUGUGAGAGAUCAUUUCACACCAAGGUAUGUAAUUUCAACCCUAGCCAAACCCCUCUCUCUUGCCUCUUGCAUUUAUUAUCUCUUGUCCAGUAGUUAACUUGAUUGUUGAAGUGUAAACAAUCGAUGCACCUUUUUCUCGGUUGAUGAUCUUUGCUUUCUAACAAUGUGUCCUAGUGCACAUGUGACGCCUGCAUAGAUGGGACACGGCUAGGAUUCUAUUAGCUACGUGUCCGUUGGAUUUUGAGGUCAAUAGUGUUGUAUUGCAUGUACUGGGGAUUCUCUGUGAUUCUCUUCUUGUGAAUUUUAGGCCAACAAUGGUUCGACGGUGGAAAACAUCCAUAGGAGUGCCGUCUGCGGUAGUGUAUACAGCUUCUUUUAUUACAGGAAUGACGAUUAGGGAUUCAUUCAUUGCAAAACGAAAUUCUUGCAUUUCGUGAUCUGCGCAAUUUUGUGGGAUCGAUGAACUAAUCAAUUUUGUUCAAAUUUAUUACACUUUUUAAAAUGUAUAGAUAGACGCCAUGUAGCACUUCAUGCAAGCAACAAAGAGUUAUUCCAACGUCAAGUUUUAUUAGGAUUGGUAUUCUCGUCUCCACCCAUAAGUACACGUUAUUUGAAAAUUAUAUGAUACAAA